RNAcentral lists this unclassified non-coding RNA (238 nucleotides) under plant metagenome. RNAcentral describes it as "partial contains small subunit ribosomal RNA and internal transcribed spacer 1". The stretch from base 1 to 46 matches the Rfam family "Eukaryotic small subunit ribosomal RNA", at positions 1786 to 1831 of the family's 1831-position model. The record is from RNAcentral.
AAGUCGUAACAAGGUCUCCGUUGGUGAACCAGCGGAGGGAUCAUUACAGAGUUGCAAAACUCCAACAAACCAUCGCGAAUCUUACCCGUACGGUUGCCUCGGCGCUGGCGGUCCGGAAGGCCCUCGGGCCCCCGGAUCCGUCGGUCUCCGGCUCGCCGGGAGGCUGCCCGGCCGGAGUGCCCGAACCAAACUCUUGAUAAUUUAUGUCUUCUCUGAGUAACUUUAAAUAAGUCAAACA